UGGGAUUUUCGUAGGCUAGCCAUUAGGGUUCUUAUAGUUGAAUACAACGGUGGUUUUUCAAGUCAUUG
RNAcentral lists this transfer RNA (68 nucleotides) under Poeciliopsis monacha (headwater livebearer). RNAcentral's name for it is "tRNA-Glu". Lineage: Eukaryota; Metazoa; Chordata; Actinopteri; Cyprinodontiformes; Poeciliidae. RNAcentral also lists the same sequence under 5 other names. The record is from RNAcentral.